UGGGGAAUUUUGGACAAUGGGGGCAACCCUGAUCCAGCCAUUCCGCGUGAGUGAAGAAGGCCUUCGGGUUGUAAAGCUCUUCCAGCAGGAACGAAACGGUGGUCCCUAAUACGGGUUACUAAUGACGGUACCUGAAGAAGAAGCACCGGCUAACUACGUGCCAGCAGCCGCGGUAAUACGUAGGGUGCGAGCGUUAAUCGGAAUUACUGGGCGUAAAGCGUGCGCAGGCGGUUAUACAAGACAGGCGUGAAAUCCCCGGGCUUAACCUGGGAAUGGCGCCUGUGACUGUAUAGCUAGAGUGUGUCAGAGGGGGGUAGAAUUCCACGUGUAGCAGUGAAAUGCGUAGAUAUGACAUAGAACACCCAUUGCGAAGGCAGCUUACUACGCAUAUAUUGACGCUGAGGCACGAAAGCGUGGGGAUCAAACAGG
This 429-nucleotide ribosomal RNA is filed under the name uncultured bacterium. Its description in RNAcentral is "bacterial SSU rRNA". It matches the Rfam family "Bacterial small subunit ribosomal RNA", at positions 355 to 776 of the family's 1533-position model. The record is from RNAcentral.